RNAcentral lists this long non-coding RNA (249 nucleotides) under Rattus norvegicus (Norway rat). RNAcentral's name for it is "long non-coding RNA NONRATT022823". The record is from RNAcentral. Lineage: Eukaryota; Metazoa; Chordata; Mammalia; Rodentia; Muridae.
AGAUCUGUUCACAAGUGCCCACAAGAACUGCCCCAGGCCCCAGGGCACAGACCUCCUGAAUCGGGACCUGCCCUCCAGCCAGCCAUCCGCCAUUGCUCCGGACCAUGUUGCUGGCAAGGACAAGCAGAUGGAUUUCUGUUGGGAUCCUUGGCAGAGGUGCUUCCAGACCACCAAUGGCUACAUAUCUGACUCCAGAGCUUGCCCCAGCAACUACAGCGUGGCUGCCCUGGCCACCUCAUCCCUUGUGGG